GUAGGGUGCAAGCGUUGUCCGGAAUUAUUGGGCGUAAAGAGCUCGUAGGCGGUUUGUCGCGUCUACUGUGAAAUCUGGGGGCUCAACCCCCAGCCUGCAGUGGGUACGGGCAGACUAGAGUGCGGUAGGGGAGAUUGGAAUUCCUGGUGUAGCGGUGGAAUGCGCAGAUAUCAGGAGGAACACCGAUGGCGAAGGCAGAUCUCUGGGCCGUAACUGACGCUGAGGAGCGAAAGCAUGGGGAGCGAACAGGAUUAGAUACCCUGGUAGUCCAUGCCGUAAACGUUGGGAACUAGAUGUGGGGGCCAUUCCACGGUCUCCGUGUCGCAGCUAACGCAUUAAGUUCCCCGCCUGGGGAGUACGGCCGCAAGGCUA
Molecule: ribosomal RNA, 372 nt
Filed under: uncultured bacterium
Lineage: Bacteria
Description: bacterial SSU rRNA
Rfam family: Bacterial small subunit ribosomal RNA
Source: RNAcentral